RNAcentral lists this ribosomal RNA (497 nucleotides) under uncultured bacterium. Its description in RNAcentral is "partial 16S ribosomal RNA". It matches the Rfam family "Bacterial small subunit ribosomal RNA", at positions 28 to 507 of the family's 1533-position model. The record is from RNAcentral.
GACGAACGCUGGCGGCAUGCCUAAUACAUGCAAGUCGAGCGAACAGAUCAAGUUCUUGCACUUCUGUCGUUAGCGGCGAACGGGUGAGUAACACGUAAAGAAUCUACCUAUAAUCGGGGUAUAACCUUCGGACACGGGUGCUAAUACCGCAUAAUAUCUUCUUCCACAUUGAAGAAGAUUUAAAUACGGCUCUUCUGUCUCUUCUCGAUGCCUUUGCGGUUCAUUAGUUGGUUGGUGGGGUAACGGCCUACCAAGGCGAUGAUGCAUAACCGACCUGAGAGGGUGAUAGCCGACAUUGGGACUGGAACACGGCCAAAACUCCUGAGGGACGCAGCAGAAGGGAAUCGUCCGCAAUGGGCGAAAGCAUGACGGAGCAAGGCCGCGUGAGUGAAGAAGACGUUCGGGUCGUAAAACCCGGUUAUAAGAGAAGAACAGAUUGUGGAGUAACUGCUACAGUCGUGACGGUAUCUUAUCAGAAAGCCACGGCUAACUACGUG